GUAAAGAUUCUGAUUCAGCAUUGUCUUUUUUUUUUUUAAACCAGCCUCUAGGAUUUUUCUAUUACUUUUCUUGAUCAUGUAAGUUUCAUGCUUCAGCUGUUCAUGCUUCUAUAACUGCAUCUGCAUUUCUGUCUCUAGUCCCAGGCUGAUUUCAAACAAUAUCAUCAGUGUUAGAGCAUUAGAAGGAAAAAAAAAAGAAAACUGCAAGUAGAUUGAGUGGCAAGAAAAGAAUGAGACAACAUCUGGGCCAUCAAAAGCCCCUACUGCUCAAACCUCCUGGUUCGCAAAUGAACUUAUAGUCCAGGAUCACUGUCUUACUCAAUGCCUGACAUGCGCUUGGAGAAUUUAGAUCACUGUUAAAUAGACUGAAGAGCAUCAAAAGAAAUUGCGGAAAGACCAGAUAGGAGGCUUUUGUGGGAAUCUAGUUUUUUACAGAAACCAGGUUAGGAAGAGACCUGAACAGUAUAUGAUACUGCAGCUAACAUCCAUGGUAAUUCAGUGGGCUGUGCGUGGCUGGGGAAGACUUCGUGAAGAUUCAGUGGGGUUGGAUCUUGAAGAAUGACUAGGACCUAGAAAACAGAAAGAAGGUUUGGAGUCUUUUCAGCCCCACUUGCAAUCUCUUUAGCUUUUAGAGUAAUGUAGUGGGGAGAAAUAGCAAUGAUUUUCUGAUUGUAGAUGACUUCAUGAACAUCACAAAGGAAAAGAAAUUGAGUUGAAUGCCAGACUUUUGUAAUUUCCUAGGUUUGUGGAUAGAGGCAAAUUAUGUUCCUGACUGGUCGAACAGCAAAACCUUCUCUCAAGAAGUGUCAUUUGCCCAAACCCACUAGCCAAACUCAUCCAAGUCCUUGGAGAAAUGGCUCCGUCAGCCAGAGGAUGCUGGUGCCUUCAAGUCCUACCCACUGAGAGCAGGAGGGGUAGGAGGCCGCCUCCUAGAACCACUCAACAUCUUCAGUGCUUCUCACUUCUUCAGGGUCUUUAGGGCGGACACUGAGAAUCAGUUGCCAAACAUGAAGCACGGCCUUCUGAAGACAUGUUUGAAGGUGGCUCCUCCGCCUGCUGUGGGACUGUAGGCAAAUCGCUAAGUGAUCUUACUCCUCUUUGGUCAGACGCUGGAAUGGGUGCAGGUUCUUGAAGACCACUGCCAACUCUGGGACAGAGCUUUUAUUAGAAAAUUUGUGUUCACCAACAAGUUCCUGGAGUUCUAUAAAACCUUGUGGAUUUGCAUACAAACAAAGGUAACUGUAUCAAAGGCUUUUCAUUUCAUAUCGUGAAGUGUGUUGUUAUGCACAGUUCAUUCUAUUAAAAAACGAAACAUGUAGAACUAAAUUAAAAUGCAGAGUGUGGAUCCCUCAGGGGGGACUUCUGAAAUACUUGGCAUGAAAUGUUGCAUAGAUUUCUUGUUAACCAGAAAAUGAUUUUAGCGAGCAACCCUUCCUGAGGCCUCGGGAAGGAGCUGCGGCGUCGUGAGCCUCUGAAGCUGCAAGGUGGGUGCUCGAUAUUACACACAUUUAUCUCGGUUGCCAGAAACUCUACAUUGCCAUCUGUCUCAAGCUUCGCCAGAAGCUACCUGUAGCUUAAAGGCAAGAAAGGUCUUGACAACAAGGGGGCU
Molecule: long non-coding RNA, 1609 nt
Organism: Balaenoptera acutorostrata (minke whale)
Lineage: Eukaryota; Metazoa; Chordata; Mammalia; Artiodactyla; Balaenopteridae
Exons: 4
Source: RefSeq, a predicted model, not a curated record